Molecule: long non-coding RNA, 6407 nt
Filed under: Sus scrofa (pig)
Lineage: Eukaryota; Metazoa; Chordata; Mammalia; Artiodactyla; Suidae
Description: lncRNA (ENSSSCG00030020730.1)
Source: RNAcentral
AGUGGCCAUGUCAUAAGCAGCCCUAAGGAGAGGCCCAGGUGGCAAGAAACUGAGGCUUCCAGUCCUCUGUACAUGAAUGAGCAUGGAUGGAGAUUCUCCAGCCUAGUCAGCCUUCGGGUGACUGAAGUCCUGGCAGACCUCCUAGCUGUAGUCUCUUGAGAGCUCUUGAGCCAGAGGCACCCAACUAAGCCACUCCUGGAUUUCUGAUACACAGAAACGUCCGGACCUGGAAGUGACAAAGAAUAGUUUCCAAAACUUGAAAGAAGAGGAGAUAAGAUUGGCUUUGAGAAGUUAAACUUCAAAAUCAGCACAUAUGGAUUAGAACAGAGAGAUACAAAAUCAUCUUAAAGCAGUGUUUAAGUGUCCUUCUGACUUGCUCUAAACUGAACCAAAAAUACAACUGCUUUCUUCUUAUCAAUCAGUGGUGGGAAAUACCAUGAAUGCUCUUUUUUUAAUGUGUGAAAAUCUCUCAGAAGAGUUCCUAGAACAACAAUAAGUGUUUUGCUUAUAACCAAGAGAAACUUAGUAAACCAAUAAGUGGAUUAUUAAAAAGAUAUCAAGAUUUGAUAUUCAUAAAUAAAGGAGUAUAUUACCAGAGUUUAUUAAGAACUCCCACUUGGUGUCCUAAUAAGAACUCUGGCUGCUACGUACAGUGCUGGGCAGCAUUCAUAUUCCUUGGCUGGUGGCCCCUCCUCCAUCUUCAAAGCCAGUGAAAGCAGGCUGAGUCCUUUCCCUGUUGCCAUCUCUCUAGCUUUCUGCAGCCAGGAAUGAUUCUUUGCUUUUAAGGACUCAUGCGAAUGGAUUAGACCCACUUGAAUAAUCCAGUGUAAUCUUCCCAUCUCAAGGUCCUUACCUUAAUCACAUCUGCAAAGUCCCUUUUGCCGUGUAGGUUAACAUAUUCACAGGUUCUGGGGGUUAGAAUGGCCUUUGAGGGCCAUUAUUCUACAUAUCACUGUGUGUGUGUGUGUGUGUGUGUGUGUGUAUAUAUAUAUAUAUAUAUAUAUAAGUAUAUUAUAUAACAAAUUCUGUAUAUAAAGAUAUUAACUCUACCUGUAUCAUAUAUUACAUAUUAUAAAAUAUGACAUAAUUAAAAAAUUUCUAUAUAUGUAUUGAAAAUUUAAAUUGGAAAUAAAAAUUUCUGUAUGUAUUUAUACACACACACACACACACACAUAUGAAAUAGUGAAAUAUCUGAGUCUUUUUUCAUAGUUGCUUGUCACCAGUCUUACUUCUCUACUCCUUGCUCCAUACUUGUGACUUGAAUGGAAUGGCAUAUUUCUAUAUUUUCAUUUUUUCACUUGCUUCUGCCUUUAUUGAAGUGAUUAUAGCUGUUAGAUAGGCUGUGUUUAUAAGUAUUUAUGAAUAAACACCACCCCACCCCCAGCAGUAACUUAAAACUACACGGGCCUAAUUUCCCUCGUGUUUUAUCUCCCUUGUGGGGAGACCGAAAGGCUCUGCUCUGUGCUGUUCUUACUUGGGGACAACAGUGGAGGGAAAAUCAGCUCCUCAAUCUGCAAAGGCUGAGAAAAGGAAGGGAAUGUGGUGGAUUGUGCGCUCAUUCCUGAAACUUCACUUCCGGUCGCAUUUCAUCAACAAAGGCACAGCAUUUGGCCAAAUCUAAGUUCAACAUCUCACUGUAUAUUUAUGGAUAGACCUAGUGACUCCCUUUAAACAUACAUAAACAUCCUUUCAAAAGUCCACAUCCUUUAAAAUAGAACCAUAGGCUUUAUCGUGAGAAAUUGCAGUCCCCUGCUCCACUCUCUAGCAGCCACCACUUUAAAUUAUUUCAGUGAUUUCUUCCAGGAUUUACCUCCAAGUUUCUAAAUAACAUGUGUAUCAUUCUAUUUCCCGACUUUUCCAUUUUAGCCACCAAAUUUUUAAGGGUGGGGAAGGUUCAACUUAGCUCUCUUCCUCACACAUCAUGUUUACAACAUCAUGAUCCUGUAAACAUCACAUACAGCUUGAGCUAUGGUUUCACUUAUACUAUGGCUUCAUUGUCUUUCUCGUGCAUUGUCUUCUUAACAUGAAUUAAGUCCCCCCCCCCCGUUUUUUUUACAUUUGCUUAGUUUUCUGUGCAGCUAUUAUUAAUUUUCCCUGAGCUCUCUGACCAAGCUAUAAAACUUCUCUUAACACAUUCAGACACACUGAGCCCUUCAUUAGCUUCAUUCUGUUCUCAGAAACGUCCCUUGUUGGCCUUCCGUCCUCCUGAUCCAGCUUUGUGACAGGUUACUUUCUAAGUCUAUUUACACCCACAAUUCCUAUUCCUUUAAAGCUGCAGGUUUCUAAUCAAGAAGAGGGGAAAAAAAGACUAGAUGACUUCUGAAAUCCCUGCUCUCUGUUCUGGAACUGUGACACAGAGAUGAAUAUUAUGUGAAGCCCAAAUAAAUUCCAAGGAUUGGCUCUGCUUUGUGCCCCCUGGCUAAAGCUUCUCAUUUACCCCAGCUCGGCUACUGGGCCUGGGUCCUCACUGGUCCAUCUUAGGCUUUGGUCGCCUACUUUGACUUCUCCACUCCACAACUUUCAAGAUCUUGGUUGUCCUCUGACUUCUGUUAUCCUGGAACCAAUAACAAAAGAAGAAGAGUGAGGAGCAGCCUUAUUUUUAGGAAUUCCUGAAUUCCCAAGAUCCAGCCCUAGAAGCACUUCCAUAUUCUUGCUCCUCCUUUGUCCCAUUAGAAGCAAAAAUUAUUAGACUUUACUCAAAAAGUGGAAAAUCCAAGUCAUAGAGAAAAACAGUGUGAAAGUUAAUAUCUUGUUAUGCUCUUAUCUGGGAACUGAUUGAAUUUCUAAAAGCCCUUGAGGUGCUCCUGCUGGCAGCUGGGAUUGAAGGUUCAAAGCAGAGAAACUGAGCACGUGGGGGAAAUGCUUUUACUUUAUGAUUUACUUCUCACUCCUGACGAUGGGAUGCAAUGUGCAAGGGGGGAGUGGAAUGGGAAUAUAAAUAUUGCUAUAAUAAUGAGAAUGCUUUCAUACCUGGUGAGGCAGGGAGAAUGAUGAAAAUGGUUCUGAGACACUGAUGAAACCCAGAGUGGUGUGGUUCUGAGUGGAGAAUUUGUUAAGAAACCUGAGAAAUUUCUGCCUACUUUAGUCUACCAUCAAGGAAAUUAUCCCCCCUUAUUUUUUUUUAAACUCAUUUUCUGUUCUGUGUAGCACAACUGGAGAUUAGAAUAGAAGAGAUGUUCCUGGGGCCUUCUCUGAAAACAAUAGCCCCACCCCAACGACAGGGAAAGGAUUGAUGCUAGGAAUUACCAACUCGUAAAUGGAAAUUAAUACUGUAAUUAGCAAGGUAGGAAAAUCUAUCUUAUUGUAAAUUGUGAUACUUAUAGAUUGUGAUAUCCCCCCUGGGAUCACCAGGUUAUUUAAAAGGAAUAAAUCAGGAACCACAUUCAAGCCUAUAAGGAUGUCAGAAAUAUUCAGGGCAGACAUACACCUAAAACAGAUAAUACUUUCACCAGGGUUGUAAAACAGUGGAUAAAGUCAGUUUUUUAAAAGAUACACAUUUGUGAUUUUUGACACUUCUUAGAUGGAAAAUGUUUUCAGAUUGGCUUUUGAAUAUCAACAUUGUUACCUAGACAGCUUUCUAGCAAGCAGACUGAAGACAUUGGAUAAAAAGAUUAGUCUCACAAAAUACGAGGAGAUGAAUAUUGCAUUUCAAAUAAAAGCAGAAGUCUCCAAGGAUGAAAUAUAAACAUUUGAUAAACCUGCAGCUCUGAUAAAAAUCUAUAUAAUGGCCUUAACAUUUCUAUAGCUGUCCAAAAUAUGGAGCCUGCCUUCACAUCCAUUAACUCAUUUGGUUCUCAAGUGUGUGUGCGUGUGUACAUAGUAUGGGAAGAGGUAAAUGAGAGGAAUGUUAAAAAAAAAAAAUCUUCAUUUUACAGAUGAGGAAGUGGAGCCCAGAAAGAUUCAAGCUCACACUGUCUCCCAGGUAUUAACAGACUGUGUGUAAUUAAUGUUACAUGCUCCUGAAUCAGAAUUUAAAUGGAGCCCAAAUGGAGAUGCAACACAGAGAUGGCAUUCUAGCCACAGUAGUGUUGUGAUUUCAAGUUUAUUAGUUCAAGAAUGAAUCAAUGCAAGCAAUGUAGGAAAAGUACUCACCUCCCCACCUUGAAAAUUGAUUAAGGAAUAGCAGAAUUUAGUAUUGUCCCCAUUAUUAUGCCCACAUUUGACAGAUUGGUUAGAGCUCUGAUAGUUAUAGUGCAUCAUAGCCUGCCUUGAAUUGGGGCUCUACAUGAGUACGUGUCUUCCUUUCUGAACCGCGAGAGCUCACAGACCAGCAACCAGAUCUUUAAUAUGUUGUUUCCAUCCAGUGUAUAUCCCAGUGCCAGUGCUUCAUAAACAUGUAGAGUGGAGUAAACCAUGAGACACUUUGCAAUACCACCAAUUGGGUCAUGAUGUAGGCGUGCAGACUGGAAGAUUGUUGCAUCCACUUGGAGGGUUGGAGGUGUCAGAUGCCUCCCUUUUAAACCAUAUGACCUGGUUCCUGUCCUUUUUAUGCAGUUUGGCCCCAUUUCUUGGGAUGAAAUCAGUUGUAGAUGACCUCCUACUUUCAAACAGAUUGAAAAUGUGCCUGCAAGUCUAGUAACAAACUCAUGUGCUAAAAGGGAUGGUUUCCAUGUUCCAAAACUUUAAAUCCCUUAUCAGGAACACUGGGCCCUGUGACAGGGUUGUGGGAACCCUGCAAACCCCAUGAGUGAUGACCCACGUAAUAUUAAUAACCCUCAUCCCCACUCUGACCCAAACCCUGGACUCCAUCCUCAGCCAGGCUCUCAUGGAAGGACAGGCCCAGUCAGGGAUUGAUGCACAGGCUUCAGGAGCAUCUGUGGAGAAAACCUCUGCAAACUUUAAAGAGAAAUGCAUCUUGAAUGAUUCCUAGUUUGUCUAUAAAGGGGAGAAAAGAUUAAAAUAAAUGUAUAUGUAAGUAUAAACAAAAGAUAGGAAUAAAUAGAACGAAAAAAGUUUUAAUGACUUUUUCUAGCUGGUUGGAUUAUGAUUUGGGGUUUUUCUUUUCUGUUUUUUUAAUUGGUUUAAGGUAUUCAUUGUUUAACAUCUAUAAAUACUUUUACAUUUAUUUUUAAUCUUCUUGUAAGACAUUAAAUACACUACUAUUAAGACUAAAAUCCUUUUUGGCUACCAUCCCCAAAUUCCCAGGGGUAAUCACAUUACUUUGGCAUGCAUCUUUCUGGAUUUUUUCUUAAUAUAUAUUUACACAUACAUAUGUAUGCACAUAUAAAACAGUAUUGUUUUGUUUCUACAUAGGUGGCAUCAUACAAUACAUAUUCUGCAAUUUUUGUUCCAUAUCAGUUGCAUAUAAAUGUACCUCAUUAAAAGAAAUACUGUUCCAUCAAAUGGAGAGACUACAGGUUUAGUCCCACUGAUCCUGCGCUAGAAUCAUGUAAGGAGUCUUAAAAUCAAACCAAUGCCCAGGCCCCAUCCCUGGGAACUGAUGCAACUUUUUUUGCUUUCCCUAUUGCCCAAGUGUUUUAAUUUGUUACUGUUUUAUAACAAUAUCACUCUGCGUAAUCUUGCACAUAUAUGUGGGUGGUAUUCUAGGAAGAUUUUUUUUUUAAGCACUUUACAUUGCUUAUUGCAAUACCAAUUUACACUCUUACCACAGUAUGUGAAAAUAUCCCAUACACUGCUCUACCUUGGAUAUUAUCUAAUAUAAAAAAUUUUAAACUUUUUGCUGCUUGGAUGGAUUAAAACAAAUAGUAUGUCAUUUAUUUUCAUUCUACUGAUAAUUUUUAAGAUUUAUAUCUUUUCUUAUGUACAGUGAGAGAUUAAGGGCACAAGUUACACAGGUUUGUAUCCCAGCUGAGUUAUUUGCCUUCAGUCUAGUUGUUAAUCUCUCUGUGCCUUAGUUUGCUCACUUGUAAAAUGAAGAGAGUAAUAGUGCCUAGUUCAGAGGCUUAUUGUAAGGAUGAAAUGAUUUAAUAUAGGUAAGGUUUUAGAACAGUAUCAUCACAGAGCAAGCAUACCACAGAUGUUAGUUACUUGUUUUGGUCUUCUGUGUUUUUUUUACUAUUGUUACUUAAUCAGAAAUAUUUGGAUAAACACACACAUACAAAUUGAAGACAUAUCAUGAUUUAAAUAAGUAGCUAAUAUUUGGGAUCCCAAAGUGAUUUAAAAAAAAAAAAUCUUGGAGUUCCCGUUGUGGCGCAGUGGUUAACGAAUCCGACUAGGAACCAUGAGGUUGUGGGUUCGGUCCCUGCCCUUGCUCAGUGGGUUAAUGAUCCGGCGUUGCCGUGAGCUGUGGUGUAGGUUGCAGACGCGGCUUGGAUCCCGCGUUGUUGUGGCUCUGGCGUAGGCCGGUGGCUGCAGCUCCGAUUGGACCCCUAGCCUGGGAACCUCCUAUGCCGCGGGAGUGGCCCAAGAAAUAGCUAAAAAGACAAAAAAAAAAAAAAAAAAAAAAA